GAGCGUCUACCUUCGGGUAGAAGCGGCGAACGGCUGAGGAACACGUUGGAACCUGCCCCGAACUCAGGGAUAACCUCGCGAAAGCGGGAUUAAUACCGGAUGCCCUCGUAAGAGGAAAGAUUUAUCGGUUCGGGAGGGGCCUGCGGCCUAUCAGUUUGUUGGUAAGGUAAAAGCUUACCAAGACUAUGACGGGUAACUGGUCUGAGAGGACGACCAGUCAGAAUGGGACUGAGACACGGCCCAUACUCC
RNAcentral lists this ribosomal RNA (249 nucleotides) under uncultured bacterium. RNAcentral's name for it is "partial 16S ribosomal RNA". It matches the Rfam family "Bacterial small subunit ribosomal RNA", at positions 64 to 339 of the family's 1533-position model. The record is from RNAcentral.